Meleagris gallopavo (turkey) is the source of this 5098-nucleotide non-coding RNA. NCBI's taxonomy places the organism in Eukaryota, Metazoa, Chordata, Aves, Galliformes, Phasianidae. The record is from RefSeq and is a predicted model, not a curated record.
UGCUGUCUUCUACCUUUACAGAUCUGCACAAUGCAACAAAUCUGAGGUCGCGUUCUUUAUCUGGAACAGGACGGUCUCUGGUGGGCUCGUGGCUGAAACUGAACAGAACAGAUGAAAACUUUCUACUCUAUGCACACUUAACUUACAUCACUUUGCCAUUGCAUCGAAUUUUAACAGAUAUCCUGGAAGUGCGGCAGAAACCAAUUCUGAUGACAUAGCAGAGAUCGGGCACAGCCUUGGAGCCUUGUUGCCAAGUGCCUAACCUCAGCAGUUUUCUGUGCUAACACUACCAUCUAGUGUCAGGAACAUAAACCUCCGCAGAAAAAGGGAAGUCAAAGAAUACCAGCCGAUCAAAAGUGCCUCUUUCUUCCUUCCUCUGCUGUCAUACACCAUAUGCACACUUGCAGUACAUCACUUGAGUGUUUCCGACUGGAAGAAGACUUUCAACAAAACAAAAGAAGGGGCUGUGUACGAAACGUGUCGUUGCUUUAUGAACAGUUUAUUACUCUGUUUACUUUAUAACUAAGAAACCAACAACAUGUACAGAAUGUGUUAAACUUUGUAUUCUUUGAAAGAAACAAUUUCAUAAUGAUGUACUAAUGAGCGCUGUUCCAUUGACUCUUGCCCAUACUCUCCUUGUUGGAUUGGCUUUGUGUGUGUGAACGUGUGUAUGUCUUGAGACUGAAGGGAUAAGACGAAUUCCUGCUGAGGGAGGAAAAGGGAAAAGAUGCUAUAAAAACACAUUGCCAUUUGGUUAUGUACAGUGAGUGGGUUAGGUCAGAGAUUGAAAGAGGCUUAAAAUGUUCCCAUUUGUUCAUGUGUCAGUGUUAGGACAGGAGAACUCUGCUGACAAAUUCAGUAUCUACCAAAGAACAGCAACAUUUUCAUCCUCAAGAACUGGUGAAGAAACUGAGCCAGGGAAAAGAAGGCUAAAAUGUGCUGCUAUAGUAAAGCUGAGUUUCAUAUCCACUACUAAUGCUGCUUAUCUCUUUUAGCUGAGUCCAUGUGAGUCAGAGGCUAAUGUGGAAAAACUGGAAACCUCACAUGGACUCCAGAAACUUAAAAUCUUAUUGAUAACCAACAUCCUCCUGCAUGCACUGGACCAUAGUACAAAAAGUUGUCCUUGUGGUAGUGUUUGUGGCCAAGGAGGGCAUGAGAGCUAAUUAAUGUCUGGGCAGCUUCUCCAGAUUCUUCUUUUCCUGGUCACGUUCUGCUGUACUGUUACAUGCCGAAGCACAAGGAGUUCUCUUUCAAGGCAGAAGGUUUAAAUGUGAUCCUGCUCUGAAAAGUGACUAAAAAUGUCAUAGUGGGAGGUUUGAAAGUUGUGUCAGGAGCUCUCAGGAAAAAUGCCUUAUGUUUACAGGUAAAAUGCAGCUUUCUCAAAACAGCACAACUGCUGUCCUUGACACGUGAAAUCUAAGAAAUGAGAUGUUGAGUCUACUGCAGCUGGAUUCACCACAUCGAUGUGGGAGCUAGCCAUAGGUCACUUUAUUUAUAGCUGCCUAACUGGUGAAGCAAAGCAUGGGAUAGCAUGUUACUUAGAGUAUGAGGCACUCUGAUAUACGCACAAAGAUCCAUAGAGAGUGGAGGUGCCAUUUUUGUCACUUUUUGGACACUGAGCACCUGAACUCUAAUGCUGGUGCCAUACUUACCAACAUGAUGUGUGCUCUGAGCCUGGGUCUUUUGUCUCCCUCAAACUCGACCUUUCCCAAAGUGCUGUGUUAUUCUCUCAAUAGCAUCUGAUGACUUAACCUCUCAGAUAGGACUUUCUGCUUUUUUCCUCAGACCAAGUUCCAUGGGAAUAGCUCCACUUCUGCAUUAAAGAUAGAUUAACUGUCAUUCAGCCCAACGUGAUGAAUCCAGUGUGGUAAGGAGGUCUUUUCUUGUUUGAGGCUAGACCUGGGAGUAGUCACCUUUGUCCAGAGUGAUGGCAUUUCUGAAACUGGCAGCAUGAGUGUAUAACAGGGAAAUCUGACCAUUUUCUGCUUGUUGCAGAUGUUUUAUGACAGCAUUAGAAAAAAAAAACAAAACAAAACAACUUUGUCAUUGCCAGCACAGCCACUUUGCAUGUUGCAGACUGAGUUUUGCUCUGUAGGAGUAUGCACUUUGUGUGAGGCUGUUCAUGCAGUCUGACUUGAGGCAUGCAGGUGAGAUAUCUGGGCCAUCUUGUCAGAGAGGUGGACUCCCGAAAAAGCAACUGAAAUGUUUUCCCAGGGAACUUCAUAGGCAGCCGAGGUGCUUGCUUGAGAUCCCUAGCAGUGCACCUAAUGCCAGAUAGUGCAAAUACUCUCCCUCCCUAUGUCCAUGCCAAGAAGUCUUCAGCUAGGAGGUUGUCCUACUCAGAAGCCUCUGAAGAUGUUCCAUAUUCUGCAUUUUAAUAUUGGAUGGAAAGCAGUUUCCUUUAAAUAGUCACUAGGGAGGGAGGGGAGAGAGGGUUAGUGUUAGUACUGCUGCUGACAAUUGAUAACAGUUUGGUCAAACAGAAACAAUGAACACUGAUUGGAACCUGAGUGGUAGGUGCCUGAGUACUGCCUAGUCAAAUGUAACUUUUAAUGCAUUUUAAUACCAGUGUGUUAAAUUUGGACAGCUUGAUUUCAUGUGGUCUGAAAGACUUGAGCAGAACUUGCAUGAGAUUUGUAGGCAAAUGGCAAAAGAGGAAAGAUUCUGAAGUAGCAGAAAGGCAAUGUUAUGGAAAGGACAGUGCAAACCUCGUCUGCUAAGCAAGAAGGACUGUCUGCUUUGUUAUGUGUACGUGGAUGAAUCUGAUGUCUGGUUUUUGAAGGGCUGAACGUAAAAGUCCUGUAGAAGAAUUUAUUGAUGUAUUUUAUCCUGCUAGCAGAUAUCCAGUAUAUGCAUUGAAGACUCAACUUUUGUAGUACAAAAGGGCUACAGGUAUGCCCAGAUGGAUAUUGCUGGUAAACAGAGAUCAAAAAAUUUAUUGAAUGUCUGGUACUUUUGGGAGCAAAUUAGAUUUACUCCGUUCUCAACUAUUCACUCUUUAAACAACUGACUUAGAAUUCUUGUGUGUGAUGAAUUUCCUUACUUUGUUAUCAGGUGAGAGGGGGAAAAAUCGUGUAUUUUAUUUUGCUUUUAAGUAAUCCCUAAAAAUUUGUAAUGUAUUAUCCUCAUACAGACAAACUGACAGGGAAGAGGAUACAAGUUUUGUCUGGGUCAGGGUGGCACAGCUGGGCCUUUAGCUUGCUAUUGCACUAUACCAAAAAGAAAAGGGAAUGUUAGUUAGAAACUUCUCACCCUUUUAAUUUGGGGGGGAAGGAGGGAGGUAAAUUCUAUGCUCUGAAGCACUAAACCAAUAGAUUUGGGCCUCUGUUGGCCACUUAAAUUGCUGAGAAAUGAACUGGAAUGUUCUGCAUGCUGUAAGGACUGCAGCAAUGUAUGGCUGUUGAUGUCCUGACUGUUGUAGUGUGACGGUUUUCAUUAUAUUUAUGUUGAUGCUUGACAACAGCUCUAUCUGAGAAGGCAGCACUGUUAACAAACUUGUGUUGCUUUGCAGAAUCUUUUUAUUUAUUUACAGAAACUCACCAUCCUUCAAUACCGAGUUAGCUUCCCUCAUCCUGUCCAUUCACUCCCUCUGGGGACCUGAGGCUUACCGCUUCAACUCUUCAUUGAUGUUGCGUUUGACAUCUGACAAUAUACAAGGUUGUAUAUUUUUUCAGCCUGCACAGAUUUUUCACUCUUACAAAUUUAGCAUGUAGAAAGCCUUUGAAUUGUAAAGAAAGCUCUUAAAUUACUUGUUUUGUAUUAGCAGAUUAUUGCUUUGCCUUAGAGACCACAGUGUUUGUAAAAAUCACAUUCUCUUAGUGCCAGCCAGCGCAGGAUGGGAUCCAAGUCUCCUUUGAAAAGAAGCCAUUUCUAGAAAUUCAGCAGAUCUUUCAGCUGUCUUGGCAAAUCCAGUUUGUGUGGGUUCAUGUUCCUUCUUUUUUGUUCUCUUAGUCUUCGUUCUUUACAAGGCUUGAGCAUGUUGGGAUGUGAAUCUGUGUUACCCAGUUUUUCAUUUCUGGGCACAGUGUGCUUUCCUGAAAAGAGAGUUGUUUGCAAGAGUGAUUUUUGAGCAUACAAUGUUUUGCCUGAAGUGUAUUAUUUUACCAUGUUUUAAUUUAACAGUUGGGUCCCUGGUUUUGCAGACAGAUUUCUUCUGGCAGAUCCUCAUGCGCAGAGUCCUGUGCUAGUCACUGAGGUUCUCUAUAGACAUGGAGUCUGCAUAAAGAGUCUACAUGUUUAAGCUAUUGAGCUGCUUCUUGCCAAUCACGAAUGUUUCACUUCCCAGGUGAUUGCUUGCCCUGUAGUCUAAAGCUUCCCCUUAUUAAAGAUGUAAAAUCUUUAAAAGUGCCUAAGUCCUGUUGUUACCCAAUGAGGUUUAAGAAUGAAUUUUUAUUUACGAACAGAAUAUGCUUAAAUUCUGUGUGGUGUAUAGCAGUGUCAGGAAAUAAGUUUAUAAUUCUUGGAAGAGCUCUCUAUCUCCUACAGACUCGCCCUUCCUGUUAGGUUCUCAUGGUCUUCAGAGGUCAUGGCUGAAAGCUCUGGAAAAUUGAAAACUUGCAAUCAGAGCAGUUGGAUGUCUGUGAAUGCCUUAUCUUGUCCUGUGUGAUAUGACUGAAAGUGUAUGGCGUUGGUAUGUAACAAAAAUUCUGUGUCAAAAAUAGGUGCAGUAGAAUCCAGUGAAAGGCAUUGUUAAAUAAGUAGCUUUCACACCAAAUGUUAUGAAACAGUAUUUUACACCAGAACAUAGAUGUUUGGAUGCUUGGUCAAGAAAAUGUAAGACUGCAAGAAGGUUACAGUGUUGAAUGUUCUGUGUGUGUGUGUGUGUGUGUGUGUGUGUGUGUGUGUUUGUAUAUAUAUAUAUAAAUACUCUCAGCUUAAUUUUAUCAAACAAACAUGUUGCAUGGUUUGUUUUUUGCCUCAUUGAUCAUCAGUGUUGAUUAAAAGAUGCUGGGUUGGAAAUCUUGCUGGUACUGUAUUGAGCCCUAGAAACAAAGUGCAAGGAGAACCUUUGUGCACCAAAAACAGAGUUGAUUUUGCAUAUGGCAGCAGCAAAGAAGGUGUUGGACCCUGCAGCCAAUAAACAGACCUCUUAAAUGAC